This 901-nucleotide ribosomal RNA is filed under the name uncultured archaeon. Its description in RNAcentral is "bacterial SSU rRNA". It matches the Rfam family "Archaeal small subunit ribosomal RNA", at positions 1 to 878 of the family's 1478-position model. The record is from RNAcentral.
CUCCGGUGAUCCCCGCGGGACCCGACUGCUAUCGGAUUGAGAUUUAGCCAUGCGAGUUGAACGUCUUCUGACUGCAGGAGGCGUAGCAUACGGCUCAGUAACACGUAGUCAACCUGCCCUGGAGACGCGGAUAACCCCGGGAAACUGGGAUUAAUCCACGAUAGGUCACCUCAUCUGGAAGGAGAGAUGGCCCAAAGGGGAAUUGUGAGCAUGUUUCACUACUCUCGCUCCAGGAUGGGACUGCGGCCGAUCAGGCUGUUGGCGGGGUAAAGGCCCACCAAACCUGUAACCGGUACGGGCUUUGAGAGAAGGAGCCCGGAGAUGGACACUGAGACAAGGGUCCAGGUCCUACGGGGCGCAGCAGGCGCGAAACCUUCGCAAUGCGCGAAAGCGUGACGAGGUUAGUCCGAGUGGCUUCCGCUGAGGAGGUCUUUUGCUGGCUCUAAAAAGGCUGGAGAAUAAGGGGAGGGCAAGCCUGGUGUCAGCCGCCGCGGUAAUACCAGCUCCUCGAGUGGUCGGGGCGAUUAUUGGGCCUAAAGCAUCCGUAGCCGGUUCAGUAGGUCUUCUGCAAAAUCCAAUCGCUUAACGAUUGGCCCGCAGGAGAUACCGCUGGACUAGGAGGCGGGAGAGGUGGACGGUACUCCACGGGUAGGGGUAAAAUCCUUUGAUCCGUGGAAGACCACCAGUGGCGAAGGCGGUCCACCAGAACGCGCUCGACGGUGAGGGAUGAAAGCUGGGGGAGCGAACCGGAUUAGAUACCCGGGUAGUCCCAGCCGUAAACGAUGCGAGCUAGAUGAUCCAAUCGCAAAUCGCGAUUGGAGUGUCGCAGGGAAGCCGUUAAGCUCGCCGCCUGGGGAGUACGGUCGCAAGGCUGAAACUUAAAGGAAUUGGCGGGGGAGCA